CCCUCUGGGUUGUAAACUCCUUUUAUCUGGGAAGAAAUGCCNUUUUUCUAAAUGGUUUGACGGUACCAGAGGAAUAAGCACCGGCUAACUCCGUGCCAGCAGCCGCGGUAAUACGGAGGGUGCAAGCGUUAUCCGGAUUCACUGGGUUUAAAGGGUGCGUAGGCGGGCAGGUAAGUCCGUGGUGAAAUCUCUGAGCUUAACUCAGAAACUGCCAUGGAUACUAUUUGUCUUGAAUACUGUGGAGGUAAGCGGAAUAUGUCAUGUAGCGGUGAAAUGCUUAGAUAUGACAUGGAACACCAAUUGCGAAGGCAGCUUACUACNCANUUAUUGACGCUGAGGCACGAAAGCGUGGGGAUCAAACAGGAUUAGAUACCCUGGUAGUCCACGCCCUAAACGAUGAUUACUCGACAUCAGCGAUACACUGUUGGUGUCUGAGCGAAAGCAUUAAGUAAUCCACCUGGGAAGUACGNUCGCAAGANUGAAACUCAAAGGAAUUGACGGA
Molecule: ribosomal RNA, 502 nt
Filed under: uncultured bacterium
Lineage: Bacteria
Description: bacterial SSU rRNA
Rfam family: Bacterial small subunit ribosomal RNA
Source: RNAcentral